This 425-nucleotide ribosomal RNA is filed under the name uncultured bacterium. RNAcentral describes it as "bacterial SSU rRNA". It matches the Rfam family "Bacterial small subunit ribosomal RNA", at positions 1082 to 1505 of the family's 1533-position model. The record is from RNAcentral.
AAGUCCCGCAACGAGCGCAACCCUUGUUCACUGUUGCCAGCACGUUAUGGUGGGGACUCAGUGGAGACCGCCGGGGUCAACUCGGAGGAAGGUGGGGAUGACGUCAAGUCAUCAUGCCCCUUAUGUCCAGGGCUUCACGCAUGCUACAAUGGCUGGUACAGAGAGUGGCGAGCCUGUGAGGGUGAGCGAAUCUCGGAAAGCCGGUCUCAGUUCGGAUUGGGGUCUGCAACUCGACCUCAUGAAGUCGGAGUCGCUAGUAAUCGCAGAUCAGCAACGCUGCGGUGAAUACGUUCCCGGGGCUUGUACACACCGCCCGUCAAGUCAUGAAAGUUGGUAACACCCGAAGCCGGUGGCCUAACCGUUGUGGGGGAGCCGUCGAAGGUGGGACUGGUGAUUAGGACUAAGUCGUAACAAGGUAGCCGUAA